This 79-nucleotide transfer RNA is filed under the name Wenzhouxiangella sp. 15181. RNAcentral describes it as "tRNA-Ser". It matches the Rfam family "tRNA", at positions 12 to 71 of the family's 71-position model. Rfam says of the family: Transfer RNA (tRNA) molecules are approximately 80 nucleotides in length. Their secondary structure includes four short double-helical elements and three loops (D, anti-codon, and T loops). Lineage: Bacteria; Pseudomonadati; Pseudomonadota; Gammaproteobacteria; Chromatiales; Wenzhouxiangellaceae. RNAcentral also lists the same sequence under 1 other name. The record is from RNAcentral.
AGAGCGGUUGAAUGCACCGGUCUUGAAAACCGGCAAGGGCUUGCGCCCUUCGAGGGUUCGAAUCCCUCCCUCUCCGCCA